This 402-nucleotide ribosomal RNA is filed under the name uncultured bacterium. RNAcentral's name for it is "bacterial SSU rRNA". It matches the Rfam family "Bacterial small subunit ribosomal RNA", at positions 29 to 429 of the family's 1533-position model. The record is from RNAcentral.
AGCGAACGUUUGCGGCGGGCUUAACACAUGCAAGUCGAACGGGCUGUUCCUUCGGGGGCAGUCAGUGGCGCACGGGUGCGUAACACGUAGGUAAUCAACCCUCUGGUUGGGGAUAACACUUCGAAAGGAGUGCUAAUACCCGGUAUGGCGCAGCGGUCUUCGGAUCGCGGCGAGAAAGACCCGCAAGGGUUGCCAGAGGACGAGCCUGCGGCCCAUCAGCUAGUUGGCGAGGUAACGGCUCACCAAGGCGAAGACGGGUAGCUGGUCUGAGAGGAUGAUCAGCCACACUGGAACUGAGACACGGUCCAGACUCCUACGGGAGGUAGCAGUGGGGAAUAUUGCGCAAUGGGCGAAAGCCUGACGCAGCCACGCCGCGUGAGCGAUGAAGGCCUCGGUCGUAAG